GCUGGGCAUGGUGGCCAAUGCCUGUAAUCCCAGCUACUUGGAAAGCUGAGGUGGGAGAAUCACUUGAGCCCAGGAGGUUGAGGCUGCAGUGAGCUGAGUUUGUGCCACUGCACUCCAGCCUGGGCAACAGAGUGAGACCCUGUCUAAA
RNAcentral lists this non-coding RNA (148 nucleotides) under Chlorocebus sabaeus (green monkey). Lineage: Eukaryota; Metazoa; Chordata; Mammalia; Primates; Cercopithecidae. The record is from Rfam by way of RNAcentral.